CCUACGGGUGGCAGCAGUGAGGAAUAUUGGUCAAUGGACGAGAGUCUGAACCAGCCAAGUAGCGUGAAGGAUGACUGCCCUAUGGGUUGUAAACUUCUUUUAUAUGGGAAUAAAACAGGGUAUGCAUACCAUCUUGUAUGUACCAUAUGAAUAAGGAUCGGCUAACUCCGUGCCAGCAGCCUCGGUAAUACGGAGGAUCCGAGCGUUAUCCGGAUUUAAUGGGUUUAAAGGGAGCGUAGGUGGAUUGUUAAGUCAGUUGUGAAAGUUUGCGGCUCAACCGUAAAAUUGCAGUUGAAACGGGCAGUCUUGAGUACAGUAGAGGUGGGCGGAAUUCGUGGUGUAGCGGUGAAAUGCUUAGAUAUCACGAAGAACUCCGAUUGCGAAGGCAGCUCACUGGACUGCAACUGACACUGAUGCUCGAAAGUGUGGGUAUCAAACAGGAUUAGAUACCCUUGUAGUC
This 460-nucleotide ribosomal RNA is filed under the name uncultured bacterium. Its description in RNAcentral is "partial 16S ribosomal RNA". It matches the Rfam family "Bacterial small subunit ribosomal RNA", at positions 338 to 795 of the family's 1533-position model. The record is from RNAcentral.